This 513-nucleotide ribosomal RNA is filed under the name uncultured bacterium. RNAcentral describes it as "partial 16S ribosomal RNA". It matches the Rfam family "Bacterial small subunit ribosomal RNA", at positions 28 to 507 of the family's 1533-position model. The record is from RNAcentral.
GACGAACGCUGGCGGCGUGCUUAACACAUGCAAGUCGAACGAGAGCGUAGAGAAAGCUUGCUUUUUCUACAAUCUAGUGGCAAACGGGUGAGUAACGUGUAAACAACCUGCCCUACGGAUGGGGACAACAGCUGGAAACGGCUGCUAAUACCGAAUACGUUCCGAAAGUCGCAUGACUAUCGGAAGAAAGGAUGGCCUCUAUUUAUAAGCUAUCGCCGGAGGAGGGGUUUGCGUCUGAUUAGCUAGUUGGAGGGGUAACGGCCCACCAAGGCGACGAUCAGUAGCCGGUCUGAGAGGAUGAACGGCCACAUUGGAACUGAGACACGGUCCAGACUCCUACGGGAGGCAGCAGUGGGGAAUCUUCCGCAAUGGGCGAAAGCCUGACGGAGCAACGCCGCGUGAGUGAAGACGGCCUUCGGGUUGUAAAGCUCUGUUAUACGGGACGAAUAAUCUUGUGGUUAAUACCCAUGAGAAGUGACGGUACCGUAAGAGAAAGCCACGGCUAACUACGUG